AACUACGGCCAUGCCACCCUGAACAAAGCCCGAUCCGCUCUGAUCUCGGAAGCUAAGCAGGGUCUGGCCCAGUCAGACCACCUAGGAAGACCAGAUGCUGUAGGCG
RNAcentral lists this ribosomal RNA (106 nucleotides) under Pteropus alecto (black flying fox). Lineage: Eukaryota; Metazoa; Chordata; Mammalia; Chiroptera; Pteropodidae. The record is from RNAcentral.